AAGACCUUGCGCUUUUGGAGCGGCCGAUGUCUGAUUAGCUUGUUGGUGAGGUAAAGGCUUACCAAGGCUUCGAUCAGCAGCUGGUCUGAGAGGACGGCCAGCCACACUGGGACUGAGACACGGCCCAGACUCCUACGGGAGGCAGCAGUGGGGAAUUUUGGACAAUGGGGGCAACCCUGAUCCAGCCAUGCCGCGUGAGUGAAGAAGGCCUUCGGGUUGUAAAGCUCUUUCAGCCGGAACGAAACGGUUACGGUUAAUACCCGUGACUACUGACGGUACCGGAAGAAGAAGCACCGGCUAACUACGUGCCAGCAGCCGCGGUAAUACGUAGGGUGCAAGCGUUAAUCGGAAUUACUGGGCGUAAAGCGUGCGCAGGUGGUUUUGUAAGUCAGAUGUGAAAUCCCCGGGCUUAACCUGGGAACU
RNAcentral lists this ribosomal RNA (423 nucleotides) under uncultured bacterium. Its description in RNAcentral is "bacterial SSU rRNA". It matches the Rfam family "Bacterial small subunit ribosomal RNA", at positions 207 to 622 of the family's 1533-position model. The record is from RNAcentral.